This 929-nucleotide ribosomal RNA is filed under the name uncultured bacterium. RNAcentral's name for it is "bacterial SSU rRNA". It matches the Rfam family "Bacterial small subunit ribosomal RNA", at positions 33 to 954 of the family's 1533-position model. The record is from RNAcentral.
ACGCUAGCGAUAGGCUUAACACAUGCAAGUCGAGGGGCAGCAUGGUCUUAGCUUGCUAAGACUGAUGGCGACCGGCGCACGGGUGCGUAACGCGUAUGCAACUUGCCUCACAGAGGGGGAUAACCCGUCGAAAGACGGACUAAUACCGCGUACACUCCAGCUUGGGCAUCCAAGCUAGAGGAAAUGAAAUUCGCUGUGAGAUAGGCAUGCGUCCCAUUAGCUAGUUGGUGAGGUAACGGCUCACCAAGGCGACGAUGGGUAGGGGAACUGAGAGGUUGAACCCCCACACUGGUACUGAGACACGGACUAGACUCCUACGGGAGGCAGCAGUGAGGAAUAUUGGUCAAUGGGCGAGAGCCUGAACCAGCCAAGUCGCGUGAAGGAUGACUGUCUUAUGGAUUGUAAACUUCUUUUAUACGGGAAUAACAAGAGCCACGUGUGGCUCCCUGCAUGUACCGUACGAAUAAGCAUAGGCUAACUCCGUGCCAGCAGCCGCGGUAAUACGGAGGAUGCGAGCGUUAUCCGGAUUUAUUGGGUUUAAAGGGUGCGUAGGCGGCCUGUUAAGUCAGCGGUGAAAUCUAGGAGCUUAACUCCUAAAUUGCCAUUGAUACUGGCGGGCUUGAGUGUAGAUGAGGUAGGCGGAAUGCGUGGUGUAGCGGUGGAAUGCAUAGAUAUCACGCAGAACUCCGAUUGCGAAGGCAGCUUACUAAGGUACAACUGACGCUGAAGCACGAAAGCGUGGGUAUCAAACAGGAUUAGAUACCCUGGUAGUCCACGCAGUAAACGAUGAUAACUGGGCGUAUGCGAUAUACAGUAUGCUCCUAAGCGAAAGCGUUAAGUUAUCCACCUGGGGAGUACGUCGGCAACGGUGAAACUCAAAGGAAUUGACGGGGGCCCGCACAAGCGGAGGAACAUGUGGUUUAAUUCGA